AAAUCGGCGCAAAGCUUAGCCCGGCCGCCGAUCUCCAAGUACCACGUCGGCGCCGUCGGUCUCGGAUCAUCCGGUAGAGUGUUCUUCGGGGUCAAUCUCGAGUUCCCCGGUCUUCCUCUUCAUCAAUCUGUUCACGCCGAACAAUUCCUCGUCACAAAUCUCGCCCUAAACGCCGAAUCUCACCUCAAUUACCUCGCCGUCUCCGCUGCCCCUUGCGGCCAUUGCCGUCAAUUCCUCCAAGAAGUUCGCUCUUCCGCAGAUAUCAAAAUCCUCGUCUCCGAUUCUGGUUCCGAUUCUGGUUCCGAUUCCAAACCCGACGUUUACGUUCCUCU
This 332-nucleotide long non-coding RNA is filed under the name Cucumis sativus (cucumber). RNAcentral describes it as "long non-coding RNA (CSAT_LNC000394)". The record is from RNAcentral. Lineage: Eukaryota; Viridiplantae; Streptophyta; Magnoliopsida; Cucurbitales; Cucurbitaceae.